Molecule: ribosomal RNA, 468 nt
Filed under: uncultured bacterium
Lineage: Bacteria
Description: partial 16S ribosomal RNA
Rfam family: Bacterial small subunit ribosomal RNA
Source: RNAcentral
GACGAACGCUGGCGGCGUGCUUAACACAUGCAAGUCGAACGGAAAGGCCCUGCUUUUGUGGGGUGCUCGAGUGGCGAACGGGUGAGUAACACGUGAGUAACCUGCCCUUGACUUUGGGAUAACUUCAGGAAACUGGGGCUAAUACCGGAUAGGAGCUCCUGCUGCAUGGUGGGGGUUGGAAAGUUUCGGCGGUUGGGGAUGGACUCGCGGCUUAUCAGCUUGUUGGUGGGGUAGUGGCUUACCAAGGCUUUGACGGGUAGCCGGCCUGAGAGGGUGACCGGCCACAUUGGGACUGAGAUACGGCGCAGACUCCUACGGGAGGCAGCAGUGGGGAAUAUUGCACAAUGGGCGGAAGCCUGAUGCAGCAACGCCGGGUGCGUGAUGACGGCCUUCGGGUUGUAAACCGCUUUCGCCUGUGACGAAGCGUGAGUGACGGUAAUGGGUAAAGAAGCACCGGCUAACUACGUG